GGACACGUGGUAUCCUGUCUGAAUAUGGGGGGACCAUCCUCCAAGGCUAAAUACUCCUGACUGACCGAUAGUGAACCAGUACCGUGAGGGAAAGGCGAAAAGAACCCCGGCGAGGGGAGUGAAAAAGAACCUGAAACCGUGUACGUACAAGCAGUGGGAGCACAGGUUUACCUGUGUGACUGCGUACCUUUUGUAUAAUGGGUCAGCGACUUAUAUUCUGUAGCAAGGUUAACCGCAUAGGGGAGCCGGAGGGAAACCGAGUCUUAAUUGGGCGUUAAGUUGCAGGGUAUAGACCCGAAACCCGGUGAUCUAGCCAUGGGCAGGUUGAAGGUUGGGUAACACUAACUGGAGGACCGAACCGACUAAUGUUGAAAAAUUAGCGGAUGACCUGUGGCUGGGGGUGAAAGGCCAAUCAAACCGGGAGAUAGCUGGUUCUCCCCGAAAGCUAUUUAGGUAGCGCCUCGUGAAUUCAUCUCCGGGGGUAGAGCACUGUUUCGGCUAGGGGGCCAUCCCGGCUUACCAACCCGAUGCAAACUGCGAAUACCGGAGAAUGUUAUCACGGGAGACACACGGCGGGUGCUAACGUCCGUCGUGAAGAGGGAAACAACCCAGACCGCCAGCUAAGGUCCCAAAGUCAUGGUUAAGUGGGAAACGAUGUGGGAAGGCCCAGACAGCCAGGAUGUUGGCUUAGAAGCAGCCAUCAUUUAAAGAAAGCGUAAUAGCUCACUGGUCGAGUCGGCCUGCGCGGAAGAUGUAACGGGGCUAAACCAU
RNAcentral lists this ribosomal RNA (771 nucleotides) under Salmonella enterica subsp. enterica. Its description in RNAcentral is "partial 23S ribosomal RNA". It matches the Rfam family "Bacterial large subunit ribosomal RNA", at positions 420 to 1190 of the family's 2925-position model. The record is from RNAcentral. Lineage: Bacteria; Pseudomonadati; Pseudomonadota; Gammaproteobacteria; Enterobacterales; Enterobacteriaceae. RNAcentral also lists the same sequence under 1 other name.